AUUGAACGCUGGCGGCAGGCCUAACACAUGCAAGUCGAACGGUAACAGGAAACAGCUUGCCGUUUCGCUGACGAGUGGCGGACGGGUGAGUAAUGUCUGGGAAACUGCCUGAUGGAGGGGGAUAACUACUGGAAACGGUAGCUAAUACCGCAUAACGUCGCAAGACCAAAGAGGGGGACCUUCGGGCCUCUUGCAUCGGAUGUGCCCAGAUGGGAUUAGCUAGUAGGUGGGGUAACGGCUCACCUAGGCGACGAUCCCUAGCUGGUCUGAGAGGAUGACCAGCCACACUGGAACUGAGACACGGUCCAGACUCCUACGGGAGGCAGCAGUGGGGAAUAUUGCACAAUGGGCGCAAGCCUGAUGCAGCCAUGCCGCGUGUAUGAAGAAGGCCUUCGGGUUGUAAAGUACUUUCAGCGGGGAGGAAGGGAGUAAAGUUAAUACCUUUGCUCAUUGACGUUACCCGCAGAAGAAGCACCGGCUAACUCCGUGCCAGCCGCCGCCGUAA
Molecule: ribosomal RNA, 505 nt
Filed under: uncultured bacterium
Lineage: Bacteria
Description: partial 16S ribosomal RNA
Rfam family: Bacterial small subunit ribosomal RNA
Source: RNAcentral